ACGCCUAAUACAUGCAAGUCGAACGAAGUAGCAAUACUUAGUGGCAGACGGGUGAGUAACAUGUGGGUAUCUUCCCUUUGGCCUGGAAUAACAUGAGGAAACUUAUGCUAAUACCGGAUAAGUCUUUACGGAGAAAGCUUUAUGCACCAUUGGAUGAGCCUGCACUUGAUUAGUUUGUUGGUGGGGUAAUGGCCUACCAAGACAAUGAUCAAUAGCUGAUUUGAGAGGAUGAUCAGCCACAUUGGGACUGAGACACGGCCCAAACUCCUACGGGAGGCAGCAGUAGGGAAUCUUGCACAAUGGAGGAAACUCUGAUGCAGCGAUGCCGCGUGAGUGAAGAAGGCCCUUGGGUUGUAAAGCUCUUUCGUCGGGGAAGAAAAUGACUGUACCCGAAUAAGAAGGUCCGGCUAACUUCGUGCCAGCAGCCGCGGUAAUACGAAGGGACCUAGCGUAGUUCGGAAUUACUGGGCUUAAAGAGUUCGUAGGUGGUUAAAAAAGUUGGUGGUGAAAUCCCAGAGCUUAACUCUGGAACUGCCAUCAAAACUUUUUAGCUAGAGUAUGAUAGAGGAAAGCAGAAUUUCUAGUGUAGAGGUGAAAUUCGUAGAUAUUAGAAAGAAUACCAAUUGCGAAGGCAGCUUUCUGGAUCAUUACUGACACUGAGGAACGAAAGCAUGGGUAGCGAAGAGGAUUAGAUACCCUCGUAGUCCAUGCCGUAAACGAUGUGUGUUAGACGUUGGAAAUUUAUUUUCAGUGUCGCAGUGAAAGCAAUAAACACACCGCCUGGGGAGUACGAC
Molecule: ribosomal RNA, 794 nt
Filed under: uncultured Pelagibacteraceae bacterium
Lineage: Bacteria; Pseudomonadati; Pseudomonadota; Alphaproteobacteria; Candidatus Pelagibacterales; Candidatus Pelagibacteraceae
Description: bacterial SSU rRNA
Rfam family: Bacterial small subunit ribosomal RNA
Source: RNAcentral